GCCAGAUGCACCCCGGAGUGGUUUUCACUUUUGACAUGUGGACCACUGCCAUCUUCCUAAAGAUGGACCUCAGAGCACGAGGUAGUGAGAAAGCACCAAAAGGAGAUCUGACCCUGGCAGAAGUCCUUGUCCAGGUUAUGUGGCAACCUCAGAAAGCAAAGAAGUAUUAGCAGCGCCACUGGAUAGCGGAGAACCUCAGGCAUUGAGCCUCGGAGCUGCUGAUCUCAUUGCUCCUGAGUGGAAAUCUGGAAACCUCCUGUGAGCCCCAGUGUCCAGGUUCAACACUUCUUUGGGGGAACUUCAUCUUGAUCUCUGCUGUACCCACAGUGCCCCCUGGGUGUCUUGUCUAAAGUUGGUACCUACUGAAUGAAAGAAUAAAUGAACCAGUGUGCUAUAGAGUUGAGUUCAGCCCGAGCGGCUCCAUGUUGGGGAAACUUUUUGUAGUCUAACAACAAAUGCUGUCACAUGAGAUACUGA
Peromyscus leucopus (white-footed mouse) is the source of this 477-nucleotide long non-coding RNA. RefSeq lists it as uncharacterized. Lineage: Eukaryota; Metazoa; Chordata; Mammalia; Rodentia; Cricetidae. The transcript has 3 exons. The record is from RefSeq and is a predicted model, not a curated record.